CGUACACUCCUACGGGAGGCAGCAGUGGGGAAUAUUGGACAAUGGGCGCAAGCCUGAUCCAGCCAUGCCGCGUGAGUGAUGAAGGCCCUAGGGUUGUAAAGCUCUUUCACCGGUGAAGAUAAUGACGGUAACCGGAGAAGAAGCCCCGGCUAACUUCGUGCCAGCAGCCGCGGUAAUACGAAGGGGGCUAGCGUUGUUCGGAUUUACUGGGCGUAAAGCGCACGUAGGCGGACUAUUAAGUCAGGGGUGAAAUCCCGGGGCUCAACCCCGGAACUGCCUUUGAUACUGGUAGUCUUGAGUUCGAGAGAGGUGAGUGGAAUUCCGAGUGUAGAGGUGAAAUUGGUAGAUAUUCGGAGGAACACCAGUGGCGAAGGCGGCUCACUGGCUCGAUACUGACGCUGAGGUGCGAAAGCGUGGGGAGCAAACAGGAUUAGAAACCCCAGUAGUCCCA
RNAcentral lists this ribosomal RNA (451 nucleotides) under uncultured organism. Its description in RNAcentral is "partial 16S ribosomal RNA". It matches the Rfam family "Bacterial small subunit ribosomal RNA", at positions 330 to 797 of the family's 1533-position model. The record is from RNAcentral.